RNAcentral lists this non-coding RNA (139 nucleotides) under Elusimicrobiota bacterium. Lineage: Bacteria; Pseudomonadati; Elusimicrobiota. The record is from RNAcentral.
GUAUUGUUUGCCCAUCUCAGGAACAUCAUAGUUUAGGGGAAGCCGGUGCAAAGCCGGCACGGUGCCGCCACUGUAACCGGAGACAAGUUUCAUUUGUCCCACCGGAAGUCAGAAAACCACCUGAGUCCAUUGCGCCUUC